RNAcentral lists this ribosomal RNA (494 nucleotides) under uncultured bacterium. Its description in RNAcentral is "partial 16S ribosomal RNA". It matches the Rfam family "Bacterial small subunit ribosomal RNA", at positions 28 to 523 of the family's 1533-position model. The record is from RNAcentral.
GACGAACGCUGGCGGCGUGCUUAACACAUGCAAGUCGAACGAUGAACCUUCCAUGAUCUAUUCGUAGAGAUUGGAAGCGGAUUAGUGGCGAACGGGUGAGUAACGCGUGAGCAACCCGCCUUACACAACGGGAUAGCCUCGGGAAACCGGGAUUAAUACCGUAUGAGAUCCCGCCUGCCCAUGAAGAAGAGGUUAAAGAUUUAUCGGUUUAAGAUGGGCUCGCGUCUGAUUAGCUAGUUGAUGAGAUAAAAGCCCACCAAGGCAACGAUCAGUAACCGGCUUGAGAGAGUGAACGGUCACAUUGGAACUGAGACACGGUCCAAACUCCUACGGGAGGCAGCAGUGGGGGAUAUUGCACAAUGGGGGAAACCCUGAUGCAGCGACGCCGCGUGAGCGGUGAAGGAAUUCGUUUCGUAAAGCUCUGUCCAAGGGGAAGAUAAUGACAGUACCCUUGGAGGAAGCCCCGGCUAAAUACGUGCCAGCAGCCGCGGUAA